This 1159-nucleotide long non-coding RNA is filed under the name Cyanistes caeruleus (blue tit). RNAcentral's name for it is "lncRNA (ENSCCEG00000008459.1)". The record is from RNAcentral. Lineage: Eukaryota; Metazoa; Chordata; Aves; Passeriformes; Paridae.
GCACUGGAUUGAUGAGAAUCCGGGCUCAAAACAUGGCCUGUUCAAUUUUUUCCUGGUGGUUUUUUUUGUUUGUUUGUUUUUCCUUUUGUCUUUGAACUUUGACACAGGGAAUUUCAUCUACUUUAUAUACAAAACUGAUACUAAAUGAGCUGUUCAGCCUCUUGUUUGAGGAGUUUUCUUCAUUCAAGAAAGUUUCCUUUAUUUCUUUCUGGUAAGGUGUUGAGAUACAUAACAAAUAGCAGCUAUUUGCUUCCUGGAUUAGAAUGGCAAAUAUUGUCCUCUGUUUGUUCUGGAGAGAGGAACUAUGGAUGCAUGCACCUCAAGAUAAGACCUUUCUAAAUGCUGAAAGCAGUAAACAGAAGUUAAAAGACUCUACUUGUUUUGCACUGUUAUCACCGUGUUUAUGUUUUUGUCAGUAUUCACAGAUUCCUCAGGUAGAAUGGGAAGUUCUGCAUUGAGUACAAUUUCUAGGAAUAGCAAAAAAUCCAUUUUUAAAGAUGUUUUCUGUCAGUCAUGUCUAGCUUGUAGCACAAGAAUAAAUUGCAUCUUGCUUGGGAAAGUGACAUAAACCCAUGGUUUUGUUAUGUCACAGAGGGAUUAUGGUGAGAGAGACAAGGAUCCCUCACCUGAGCUGUAAUUCCUCCUGGUGAAAUUGCUGUGGUUUUAACUAGGGCAUAAAAUGUCAUGUGGGAGCAGCAGGAGAGAGGAAAUGGUCAUUGUCCCUCACAGGAGCCGUGGGGCAGAGCAGUGGGUCAUUGCAAAGGGAAAGGAGGUUUUGACAUCGCUGGAUGCCAGCAAAGCUGAGGAUGUUGUGUGUGAUUGCUAUGUGGAAGAGAUGGCAAGUGUGAUGGAGCAAGGCUGUAUCUCAGGACCAUUUUCUGAGGAGAAUCUAGACUGUAAUUCCAUCUAUUAUCAGGCUCUGCACCAUAUUAAACUAGCAAUGACAUACUAUUAUUUCUGGAUGAAAAUCCUCAGCAGUUUCAAUCAGCUGUGCACCAUUUUUAAACUACAGCCACAGCCAAGGAGAACUCCCCAAGCCAGCAGGAAUCUCCAAGCUGUGUGCAGAGGUGAAGAGUGCUCCAUGGAAAUUCAUAAAUCAGGAGGCCUCUUCAGAACUCCCUGGACUUUCAGGAAUGCUGAAAUGGUGGAGCUGCAAUAA